AUUGAACGCUAGCGGCAGGCUUAAUACAUGCAAGUCGAGGGGCAGCACGGUUAGCAAUAACUGGUGGCGACCGGCGCACGGGUGCGUAACACGUAUACAAUCUACCUUAAACAGGGGGAUAGCCUUUCGAAAGAGAGAUUAAUACCCCGUAAUAAAUUGAACGGCAUCGUUUGAUUUUGAAAGCUCCGGCGGUUUGAGAUGAGUAUGCGUCUGAUUAGCUAGUUGGUGAGGUAACGGCUCACCAAGGCGACGAUCAGUAGGGGAUCUGAGAGGACUAACCCCCACACUGGUACUGAGACACGGACCAGACUCCUACGGGAGGCAGCAGUAAGGAAUAUUGGUCAAUGGAGGCAACUCUGAACCAGCCAUGCCGCGUGCAGGAUGACGGCCCUAUGGGUUGUAAACUGCUUUUAUACAAGAGAAAACCCUGGUACGUGUACCAGGUUGAUAGUAUUGUAAGAAUAAGCAUCGGCUAACUUCGUGCCAG
RNAcentral lists this ribosomal RNA (487 nucleotides) under uncultured bacterium. Its description in RNAcentral is "bacterial SSU rRNA". It matches the Rfam family "Bacterial small subunit ribosomal RNA", at positions 30 to 511 of the family's 1533-position model. The record is from RNAcentral.